Molecule: non-coding RNA, 210 nt
Organism: Kogia breviceps (pygmy sperm whale)
Lineage: Eukaryota; Metazoa; Chordata; Mammalia; Artiodactyla; Physeteridae
Source: RefSeq, a predicted model, not a curated record
GGGCGCUAAGCGGUGCGACCUGAAGCUCCAGAGAGGCCAGCGUGUGCGGGCCGAGGAGGUGCAGUCUCUCGGUCUUUGUCCGGGCGAGAACGUACCUACAGGACUCUGUACUCCCCACCAGAAGAGCCUGAACGGAGAAGUUUGUACCAUUUAAGCCUUAAAGCCAUGGCCCAGAUGAGACUUGUUCCUCAGUCUUACAGUGACAGACAA